AGUGAACGCCGGCGGUAGGCCUAACACAUGCAAGUCGAACGGCAGCACAGUAAGAGCUUGCUCUUACGGGUGGCGAGUGGCGGACGGGUGAGGAAUACAUCGGAAUCUACUUUUUCGUGGGGGAUAACGUAGAGAAACUUACGCUAAUACCGCAUACGACCUACGGGUGAAGGCAGGGGAUCUUCGGACCUUGCGCGAUUGAAUGAGCCGAUGUCGGAUUAGCUAGUUGGCGGGGUAAAGGCCCACCAAGGCGACGAUCCGUAGCUGGUCUGAGAGGAUGAUCAGCCACACUGUAACUGAGACACGGUCCAGACUCCUACGGGAGGCAGCAGUGGGGAAUAUUGGACAAUGGGCGCAAGCCUGAUCCAGCCAUACCGCGUGGGUGAAGAAGGCCUUCGGGUUGUAAAGCCCUUUUGUUGGGAAAGAAAAGCAGCAGGUUAAUACCCCGCUGUUCUGACGGUACCCAAAGAAUAAGCACCGGCUAACUUCGUG
Molecule: ribosomal RNA, 492 nt
Filed under: uncultured bacterium
Lineage: Bacteria
Description: partial 16S ribosomal RNA
Rfam family: Bacterial small subunit ribosomal RNA
Source: RNAcentral